AACGAACGCUGGCGGCAUGCCUAACACAUGCAAGUCGAACGAGACCUUCGGGUCUAGUGGCGCACGGGUGCGUAACGCGUGGGAACCUGCCCUUAGGUUCGGAAUAACUCCCCGAAAGGGGUGCUAAUACCGGAUAAUGUCUUCGGACCAAAGAUUUAUCGCCUUUGGAUGGGCCCGCGUUGGAUUAGCUAGUUGGUAGGGUAAAAGCCUCCCAAGGCGACGAUCCAUAGCUGGUCUGAGAGGAUGCUCAGCCACACUGGGACUGAGACACGGCCCAGACUCCUACGGGAGGGAGCAGUGGGGAAUAGUGGACAAGGGGCGAAAGCCUGAUACAGCAACGCCGCGUGAGUGAUGAAGGUCUUAGGGUUGUAAAGCUCUUUUAACCGGGAUGAUAAUGACAGUACCGGGAGAAUAAGCCCCGGCUAACUCCGUG
This 433-nucleotide ribosomal RNA is filed under the name uncultured bacterium. RNAcentral describes it as "partial 16S ribosomal RNA". It matches the Rfam family "Bacterial small subunit ribosomal RNA", at positions 29 to 507 of the family's 1533-position model. The record is from RNAcentral.